This 1519-nucleotide long non-coding RNA is filed under the name Anser cygnoides (Swan goose). RNAcentral describes it as "lncRNA (ENSACDG00005004633.1)". The record is from RNAcentral. Lineage: Eukaryota; Metazoa; Chordata; Aves; Anseriformes; Anatidae.
GAACUGCCCCCCUGCAGUUUGUAAUGAGGUUCAAGUCUCUCACAAUCACAUGAUUCGAGCUGCAGAGGAUUUACAAAUGCAAAAUCUCCCAGAAGACCUACAUCCAUCACCAGCCUGACUGAAAAACUGAGAUGGAUUUCAGCUGUGUCCCAGUUUGCACUACACGAGCUGACUUUGUGCAAUAAUGAAGGAGACUGGAUCAAAGGCAAAAGCCCUGCUGGAAAUCUUGUGGGCUGUCACCCUGCCUUUGGUGGCAGGUUAGUGAUAGGCUUUACUUCAACUGGUGUGAUACUGCUUUGGGGCUGUUCCAGGAGUCUGCAAAUCUCAAAGCUAUUUUGGUGCUACAUUCCCUACUCUACACCGGUCCCUGCCCAACACAGCUUGCUGCGCUCUCUUGCAGCAUCAACCUCCCACAGCGUGCAAGCAGGCCUGCCUCUGUCAGUGUUUCACACACGCAUUACCAUGAGCACACACUUGAGGGCCACAGAUCUUAAGUUUAGCAGUUCCUGCCUUCAUUAGAUUUAGUCACUGGGAGAGGGAGUGGGAGUGCUUUCUGUCCCUCUAUGUCAUUAAUUUUCAAACACGAGGCAGGGUGAUCAAUAAUCUAUUCUGCCGGCAGUUUUACUGAGUUUAUUCCUGUUUCGGGUAUUAGUUUUCCUCAGCAAAUUUAUCACCUGCAGCUUUGAUGUUAUCUAUUUGAUCUGGCAUGACCACACACCUGUCACUGAGCCUACUGUGGCACACCAAAGGCUCCUAAGUCACAGCCUAAGCUUGGCAUGGGGCACAAGGUGGAUUGAUUCUCAGAUGCAUGCAAUUGGUCAUCCCUGAACUAAGCAAUCAUCUGCAACCCAUCCCAAAGUGCUACAAAAAACACAGCUAUUUCAAUCUACAUGUGCAGCUUGGAAACUUCCAAUUGUCCUCCACACAUGGCGGCCGUUUUGGGUUGCAAAGUUGUUGGUGACCCCACACAUUUGGCCUUUAAAUCAAGAUUUCUGCAUAAUCAGAUUCGUGAAUUGAGGUGCCUAGGGGAAGACUGGCCUCUACAUCACUGUGUAGGCUGGUGUUAGCUGCAGGUAACCGUGCACAGACAGCGCUUCAUUCUUGGCAGUGGUAGGAGAUGAAGAGUAUGUCUGGAGCAAAACCAGAACAAAGGAUGAUAGGAAGCAUAGGCAGGAAUAAGGCUCUUUAGAGCAUUCUCCUCAAAUCCUCAACAAAAGUUUUCUGCAGAGAGCUGCACAAUGCAAAACAAGCAGUAGGGAAGCAAUCUCCACGCUGUAUGGCACUGUACCAUAGGCAGAGGUGCAGAAAAAUUUGCGUUUCCUGAAAGCCAAGGCACCGAGUCAUUUCUACUUAGCACAGGAACCAAGCACUGAUGCUUGGAUUGUCAGUACGUGUUCUGGAGAUAAAAGCUCGAGUCUGUUUGCUAUCUGCUGUGUUGAAGCAUGUUACUCAUCUCAUGGAGGAACUGCAAGGUCAGAGUUUAAGGUGCUCAUUCAGAAAGGUUAUGUAAGUGUUUACC